ACAUUCCCCAUUGCUGCAGAAUGACGAACAGCAUGAGUAGUCCCUUACAGUCCCAGCCUAUCCUUGCUGCAGGCUGUCCACUGGUAGCCACCUCAAAUGACAGUUGUCUAUCUCCAGCUCUCUUUCUCUACAAAUCCCUGACUGAACCCAAACAAAGCUACCUCAGGCUGUCACGCAACCACAACAUGUACUGGAGACAUCACUUGAAGGAAAACACUGUGCGGAUCAGGUUCCUCUGCAAAAAAAAGUGACAUUACACCUACCACUUUCAUGAGGGCACUGAGGUAUCCUGUUUGCCCGAAGCAUCCACAAAUAG
Long non-coding RNA from Pseudopipra pipra, 316 nucleotides. RefSeq lists it as uncharacterized. NCBI's taxonomy places the organism in Eukaryota, Metazoa, Chordata, Aves, Passeriformes, Pipridae. The record is from RefSeq and is a predicted model, not a curated record. The transcript has 3 exons.